This is a long non-coding RNA of Saccostrea cuccullata (small rock oyster), 793 nucleotides long. RefSeq lists it as uncharacterized. NCBI's taxonomy places the organism in Eukaryota, Metazoa, Mollusca, Bivalvia, Ostreida, Ostreidae. The record is from RefSeq and is a predicted model, not a curated record. The transcript is spliced from 3 exons.
UGAUUGUUUUUGGUUUUCUUUAAUGUUCAGAUUUUUGCAAAGCUGUUUGAAUGGAAGUGCUGAUCCUCCAUGGGAACCUGCUUUCCUUCUUGCAGCAUUGGAUUUCUUGGAAACCAAAUUCUGACAUAGGGUUAUACUGUUUGUAGCACUACAGUAUUGUAGAUAAUUUGGAUUGCUUCCGGCACCAUGAUGGAGUCCCCUUUGCUGAGAAAAGAUGUUUUCAACAAUGUCGCUGUUCACAAAUCCUGGUGAAGAAGAGGAGAGCACUGGAAAGCUGUUGUAGACGUUCAUCCUGAAGGUCUGCGAUGGGACGUCUGUCAUGGAAGACAUUUAUCAAAAGACUAGUCUGUUCCAAUAAUUUGAUGGGCCCAUCACAGCGGGAUGCAGCAAGAGUACUGUCCCCCAAACUUUCCUUGAACUGUCGCAUGAGAUGCAGCAUGUCUGAGUUGAGGCAUUCCUCGGCGAGAUGAUUCCUCAUUUUUUCUGCUUGGUUUGGAUGCAGAUGUUGAGAGAUAUCUGAAAUGACCCAUCAACAUUGAUCAACACUUCCAUCAGAAUUUUAUGACCAUUGCAAGAUAAGGAAGUAUCUUUCGCAAAAACAACGGAAGAGGAUGAGUUCCUUAUCAGAAAAAAAUCAUCUGGAAUACACUUGUAGAUGUCUUGCAAAUUUGCAGGAGUAUCAACAUCACAUCUUGGAGCUAAUCCUGUAUACACAAAAAUUUUUUGAGUCCAGUUUCCCUUUUUACGGACUUUUUCUCUUUUUACACCCUUGAAAGUGUUUGAAACAAGUCGC